Molecule: long non-coding RNA, 410 nt
Organism: Arabidopsis lyrata subsp. lyrata
Lineage: Eukaryota; Viridiplantae; Streptophyta; Magnoliopsida; Brassicales; Brassicaceae
Exons: 2
Source: RefSeq, a predicted model, not a curated record
CAAACUUCAAAAACCCACCAAAUCGUCAUCGUUUUUUAGUCGCCGGCGUCGUCAUCGUCGAAGCUUCUUCUUUAGCCGAAGAAUCUCUCUGGCCAACUUUCGUCAUUAUCUCUUUCGCUGGCUUGAAUGGCAGUCCGGUACGGCUCCGGUGCGGCGACCCUAAUCACGGGGUCACCGGCGAAUGGUAGUCCGGUUUCAGUCACCACACAAUCACCUUCGUCGUCACCAUCAUCUUCUCCGUCGACGUCAUCUCUGUUGGCGUCUUCUCCUUUAUUGUUGUUGAUUUCAAAGGAAUUAUGCUAAAUUAUGUAGUUUCGGUUAGCAAUCAAUGUUUCGGUUAAUGUAGUAAUUGGAAUUCAGAAAUUGCUUUUCUUUAUUUAUAAACACUAUCGAAGAACACUAUCGAAGAA